CGCCGUGCCGGAGGCUCCAGUCCGAUCGCAGCAUCACUUGCGGUGCUUUCGCGCGCGCGAAUCUCUCUGUCUCUCUUUAUCCGUCAGUCCAACUAUACAACGGAAACACACGGCUAUUUCUUUUCCCCCCUUUUACUUCCCCGUUAUAUCAUCUACCCGCGGAGACACGUGAAACGUUUUUCCUUUUGUUUUUUGUUCGUCUAAAUCAUCCCUUUUUUUUUAUCUCCCCGCCCUCCGAGGUUUUUUAUUUUUUUUUCUUCUGUCCACACUUUUUUUUUAUUUUCCUCACACUACUCACAACACCACUACUAUUUUCUUUCUUUUUUUCUUUCUUUCUUUCUUUCUCUCUUUUCUCUUCUUCCGCUUUUCGCAAAGAGUCUGAGCUCGAGCUUGAACGAAAGAGGGAGAGGGAGAGAGAGAGAGAGAGCGAACAACAAAUAAGAGGAUAAAACGCGCGUGUUACGAUAAGAGAGAGAAAGAAGAAGAACGGUCAAAAAAAAAAGGAAAAGAAAAAAAAGAGUUAACGUAUGAAACAACAACAACAAUAUCAACAACACAACAACAACGUUCGUAGUAGUAUCGGAAGAUAUAAUAAGCGUGUUAAGUGCAACAGAUAAGAUAAAAAGAAGAGAAAUAUAAUGAUGGGAAGCAAAGUGUUAUUGGAGUAUCAAUAUCAUCAUAGACGUGAACGACGUGGGAUCGUACGAUCGGAUGUUUCUUCUUCGCGCCGAAAUUCGCGAGGUGUUACGACGAGAACGACGUGGGUUGUUAGCCGAUAAAAUAAUCCCUUAUUUUCAUCCCCCUACAUUUUCUUUCUUUCUUUAUACAUAAAUAUCGUAUUCCACGCCUUCCAUUCUGACACUUUGUCAUAACAUUUCCAUCAAUGAAAUUCUGGGGUCUCGGUCUCAUUUAGAUCCCACCGUCGGAUUGUAUCAACCAACGGAAAAAAAUCCCGUUAUAAACUUGUUCGAUUUACUACAAACCUACCCCUUACCAAUACAACCCUCCCCUUCCACCCCUUUCCUCUUCUAUAAAAAGCAGUUUUAUUGUUUGGUGUUAUCGAGUGCGUUGCUACGUGAAAUUAACAGGAAUUUGUUUCCGCCCCAACCUCCCACAACUCACCCCUCUUCACUGUUUCAUGGAAAGAGGAAAUAAGUGAACUUAUUUGUGUGUAUUUCGAUCAUUUUUGUUUAUUAUCCACAUUUUAACAAGAUUCGAGCGCAUUUAAUAAAGGAAAAUAGUUCGUGUUACAACUGUGUCGGGACUAAUUUUAUCGAUUUUAUCUAUUGAAAUAAUCAAAACAGUGUCGGUCGCGUAUAUCGAUCUGAUCUGAUCGAUCGAUCAUCGAUCGUGAAACAUUUUGCGUGAAGAGUGUAUUAUUACGAUACAAUAAUGAUAAGAAAAUAAAUGAUUAGUCGACGUUAAUGGGAUAAAAAUUACGUAUGGUUGGUUGCGUGUGAAGAAGACGAGAGUUGCAUCUAACAACAACGUUGUGUUAGUAAGAAAAAAAAAAAACGAUUUCAAGGAGGAUUCACCAGAAGCUCUUCUGUUGCUCGUGUUCUUGCAAGCUCAACCGGGGGGGAUUUAGUGAAUUAAAGGGCUACAGUGCUUUGAUAAAAGUGAAUGGAUAUUUCUUGCAUAUCAAGUGACACACGUUGUAUUUUUAACAACAACAACAACAACAACAUCAUAGUUGCAUCGUUCUCGCGCCACUUUCAUCAUUCACGUUGAAUCUUCUUUUGUGUUUUCCGGCUGAAAUCGAGAAAUUCGAAGAUAAAAA
RNAcentral lists this long non-coding RNA (1780 nucleotides) under Polistes dominula (European paper wasp). RNAcentral describes it as "uncharacterized LOC107070695, transcript variant X2". The record is from RNAcentral. Lineage: Eukaryota; Metazoa; Arthropoda; Insecta; Hymenoptera; Vespidae.